This 424-nucleotide ribosomal RNA is filed under the name uncultured bacterium. Its description in RNAcentral is "bacterial SSU rRNA". It matches the Rfam family "Bacterial small subunit ribosomal RNA", at positions 356 to 773 of the family's 1533-position model. The record is from RNAcentral.
GGGGAAUAUUGCACAAUGGGCGAAAGCCUGAUGCAGCAACGCCGCGUGAGUGAUGAAGGUUUUCGGAUCGUAAAGCUCUGUUGCCAGGGAAGAACGUCCUUAAGAGUAACUGCUUAAGGAGUGACGGUACCUGAGAAGAAAGCCCCGGCUAACUACGUGCCAGCAGCCGCGGUAAUACGUAGGGGGCAAGCGUUGUCCGGAAUUAUUGGGCGUAAAGCGCGCGCAGGCGGCUGUUUAAGUCUGGUGGUUAAUCCUGGGGCUCAACCCCGGGUCGCACUGGAAACUGGGCAGCUUGAGUGCAGAAGAGGAGAGUGGAAUUCCACGUGUAGCGGUGAAAUGCGUAGAGAUGUGGAGGAACACCAGUGGCGAAGGCGACUCUCUGGGCUGUAACUGACGCUGAGGCGCGAAAGCGUGGGGAGCAAAC